Molecule: unclassified non-coding RNA, 197 nt
Filed under: plant metagenome
Description: partial contains small subunit ribosomal RNA, internal transcribed spacer 1, and 5.8S ribosomal RNA
Source: RNAcentral
UUUCCGUUGGUGAACCAGCGGAGGGAUCAUUACCGAGUGAAAAGUCAUAACCCUUUGUGAACCUAUAUCUGUUGCUCCGGCGGCUCGUUCUCGGGGGAGCCCGCCGGUAAUAUCAGUAUCUCUGUUUGAACCCGCCGAUACUUCUGAGUGUCCUUCGCGAACAGUUAAAACUUUUAACAACGGAUCUCUUGGCUCUA